UAGCAUAUCAAUAAGCGGAGGAAAAGAAACCAACAGGGAUUGCCCCAGUAACGGCGAGUGAAGCGGCAACAGCUCAAAUUUGAAAUCUGGCCCCCAGGGCCCGAGUUGUAAUUUGCAGAGGAUGCUUUUGGCGCGGCGCCUUCCGAGUUCCCUGGAACGGGACGCCAUAGAGGGUGAGAGCCCCGUCUGGUCGGACGCCAAGCCAGUGUAAAGCUCCUUCGACGAGUCGAGUAGUUUGGGAAUGCUGCUCUAAAUGGGAGGUAUAUGUCUUCUAAAGCUAAAUAUAGGCCAGAGACCGAUAGCGCACAAGUAGAGUGAUCGAAAGAUGAAAAGCACUUUGAAAAGAGGGUUAAACAGUACGUGAAAUUGUUGAAAGGGAAGCACUUGUGACCAGACUUGGGCCCGGUGAAUCAUCCAGCGUUCUCGCUGGUGCACUUCGCCGGGCCCAGGCCAGCAUCAGUUCGCCGCGGGGGAUAAAAGCUUCGGGAACGUAGCUCCCUCGGGAGUGUUAUAGCCCGUUGCAUAAUACCCUGCGGUGGACUGAGGUUCGCGCUCCGCAAGGAUGCUGGCGUAAUGGUCACCAGUGACCCGUCUUGAAACACGGACCAAGGAGUCGUCUUCGUAUGCGAGUGUUCGGGUGUCAAACCCCUACGCGUAAUGAAAGUGAACGCAGGUGAGAGCUUCGGCGCAUCAUCGACCGAUCCUGAUGUUCUCGGAUGGAUUUGAGUAAGAGCAUACGGGGCCGGACCCGAAAGAAGGUGAACUAUGCCUGUAUAGGGUGAAGCCAGAGGAAACUCUGGUGGAGGCUCGCAGCGGUUCUGACGUGCAAAUCGAUCGUCAAAUAUGGGCAUGGGGGCGAAAGACUAAUCGAACCUUCUAGUAGCUGGUUUCCGCCGAU
This 898-nucleotide ribosomal RNA is filed under the name Tolypocladium inflatum. Its description in RNAcentral is "LSU rRNA". It matches the Rfam family "Eukaryotic large subunit ribosomal RNA", at positions 36 to 965 of the family's 3401-position model. Lineage: Eukaryota; Fungi; Ascomycota; Sordariomycetes; Hypocreales; Ophiocordycipitaceae. The record is from RNAcentral.